RNAcentral lists this long non-coding RNA (396 nucleotides) under Ananas comosus (pineapple). RNAcentral describes it as "long non-coding RNA (ACOM_LNC021054)". The record is from RNAcentral. Lineage: Eukaryota; Viridiplantae; Streptophyta; Magnoliopsida; Poales; Bromeliaceae.
GGAGUUGCGAAAUUGUAAUUUUGUAUUUUCUUUGGAUUUUUCACGCGAGAAGUUUAUUGUUUUGGUGAUGACAAUGAAUUUCAUUUUUUUUUGUUUGGAGAGUUGAGCGUUGUGAGUAUUUUGAUGUAUUUUUGAGUUUUGUCAUGAAAUUGCCAAAGGCGGAGAUUGUUACGGAUUUUAAGUUGGCAUAUUUUGUAAAGUUAGUCGGAGUCUUGAAUUUUUGAAGAAGAAGAGAUGAAGAUCGAAGACUCGAAGACUCAAAACAUGAAUGCAUAAUGCUCGGUAAGUUUAAAUACCAUUGAUGAUAAUUUAUAAGUAUUUAAAGUGUUUGGAAGACUUAGGAUGGUUUUUAAAAUAUGAAUCUGGACAAACUGAGUUUUUCAAUGUGCUGGGACC